AUCAAGGGCCAUACCACCUUGUCCGUGCCAGAUCUCAUCUGACCUUGGAAGCUAAGCAGGGUUGGUUCUAGUUAGUAUUUGGAUAGGAGACCGCUGAGAAUACCAGGUGCUCCAGUGG
Molecule: ribosomal RNA, 118 nt
Filed under: Periophthalmus magnuspinnatus
Lineage: Eukaryota; Metazoa; Chordata; Actinopteri; Gobiiformes; Gobiidae
Source: RNAcentral